This 759-nucleotide ribosomal RNA is filed under the name uncultured Enterobacteriaceae bacterium. RNAcentral's name for it is "bacterial SSU rRNA". It matches the Rfam family "Bacterial small subunit ribosomal RNA", at positions 28 to 776 of the family's 1533-position model. Lineage: Bacteria; Pseudomonadati; Pseudomonadota; Gammaproteobacteria; Enterobacterales; Enterobacteriaceae. The record is from RNAcentral.
AUUGAACGCUGGCGGCAGGCCUAACACAUGCAAGUCGAGCGGCAGCGGAAAGUAGCUUGCUACUUUGCCGGCGAGCGGCGGACGGGUGAGUAAUGUCUGGGAAACUGCCUGAUGGAGGGGGAUAACUACUGGAAACGGUAGCUAACACCGCAUGACCUCGAAAGAGCAAAGUGGGGGAUCUUCGGACCUCACGCCAUCGGAUGUGCCCAGAUGGGAUUAGCUAGUAGGUGAGGUAAUGGCUCACCUAGGCGACGAUCCCUAGCUGGUCUGAGAGGAUGACCAGCCACACUGGAACUGAGACACGGUCCAGACUCCUACGGGAGGCAGCAGUGGGGAAUAUUGCACAAUGGGCGCAAGCCUGAUGCAGCCAUGCCGCGUGUGUGAAGAAGGCCUUAGGGUUGUAAAGCACUUUCAGCGAGGAGGAAGGCAUCACACUUAAUACGUGUGGUGAUUGACGUUACUCGCAGAAGAAGCACCGGCUAACUCCGUGCCAGCAGCCGCGGUAAUACGGAGGGUGCAAGCGUUAAUCGGAAUUACUGGGCGUAAAGCGCACGCAGGCGGUUUGUUAAGUCAGAUGUGAAAUCCCCGCGCUUAACGUGGGAACUGCAUUUGAAACUGGCAAGCUAGAGUCUUGUAGAGGGGGGUAGAAUUCCAGGUGUAGCGGUGAAAUGCGUAGAGAUCUGGAGGAAUACCGGUGGCGAAGGCGGCCCCCUGGACAAAGACUGACGCUCAGGUGCGAAAGCGUGGGGAGCAAACAGG